This 397-nucleotide ribosomal RNA is filed under the name uncultured bacterium. RNAcentral's name for it is "bacterial SSU rRNA". It matches the Rfam family "Bacterial small subunit ribosomal RNA", at positions 28 to 422 of the family's 1533-position model. The record is from RNAcentral.
GACGAACGCUGGCGGCGUGCUUAAUACAUGCAAGUCAACUAAGUCUUUUGCAGCAAUGUAAAAGAUUUGGUGGCGCACGGGUGAGUAUAACGUAGGCAAUCUACCAAAAGGUCUGACACAACCUGCCGAAAGGCAGGCUAAUAUCAGAUGAUACAAAAAGCAGGCAUCUGUUUUUUAUCAAAGCUUCGGCGCCUUUUGAUGAGCUUACGCCCCAUUAGANAGUUGGCGGGGUAAUAGCCCACCAAGUCUACGAUGGGUAACUGGUCUGAGAGGAUGAUCAGUCACACUGGAACUGAGACACGGGUCCAGACUCCUACGGGAGGCAGCAGUAAGGAAUAUUGCGCAAUGGGCGAAAGCCUGACGCAGCGACGCCGCGUGGGGGAUGAAGGUCUUCGGA